RNAcentral lists this ribosomal RNA (301 nucleotides) under uncultured bacterium. Its description in RNAcentral is "partial 16S ribosomal RNA". It matches the Rfam family "Bacterial small subunit ribosomal RNA", at positions 509 to 807 of the family's 1533-position model. The record is from RNAcentral.
CAGUAGCCGCGGUAAUACGGAGGGAGCUAGCGUUGUUCGGAAUUACUGGGCGUAAAGCGCGCGUAGGCGGUUACUCAAGUCAGAGGUGAAAGCCCGGGGCUCAACCCCGGAACUGCCUUUGAAACUAGGUGACUAGAAUCUUGGAGAGGUCAGUGGAAUUCCGAGUGUAGAGGUGAAAUUCGUAGAUAUUCGGAAGAACACCAGUGGCGAAGGCGACUGACUGGACAAGUAUUGACGCUGAGGUGCGAAAGCGUGGGGAGCAAACAGGAUUAGAGACCCCAGUAGUCCCUGUCUCUUAUAC